AUUGAACGCUGGCGGCAUGCCUUACACAUGCAAGUCGAACGGCAGCACGGGUGCUUGCACCUGGUGGCGAGUGGCGAACGGGUGAGUAAUACAUCGGAACGUACCUUAUCGUGGGGGAUAACGCAGCGAAAGCUGUGCUAAUACCGCACACGCCCUGAGGGGGAAAGCGGGGGAUCGCAAGACCUCGCGCGAUUAGAGCGGCCGAUGCCUGAUUAGCUUGUUGGUGGGGUAAAAGCCCACCAAGGCGACGAUCAGUAUCUGGUCUGAGAGGACGCUCAGCCACACUGGGACUGAGACACGGCCCAGACUCCUACGGGAGGCAGCAGUGGGGAAUUUUGGACAAUGGGGGCAACCCUGAUCCAGCAAUGCCGCGUGAGUGAAGAAGGCCUUCGGGUUGUAAGGCUCUUUUGUCAGGGAAGAAACACCGGCUCUAACACAGUCCGGGAAUGACGGUACCUGAAGAAUAAGCACCGGCUAACUACGUGCCAGCCGCCGCCGUAA
This 501-nucleotide ribosomal RNA is filed under the name uncultured bacterium. Its description in RNAcentral is "partial 16S ribosomal RNA". It matches the Rfam family "Bacterial small subunit ribosomal RNA", at positions 29 to 523 of the family's 1533-position model. The record is from RNAcentral.